RNAcentral lists this unclassified non-coding RNA (587 nucleotides) under Hevea brasiliensis (rubber tree). The record is from RNAcentral. Lineage: Eukaryota; Viridiplantae; Streptophyta; Magnoliopsida; Malpighiales; Euphorbiaceae.
UCUCUCUCUCUCUCUGUGUUUUUCACCUAUGGUUUUGGUGUGGGUCCUUGUACAGUUUCUAGGUUUCUGCUGUUGAGGUGAACGGAUUGGAUUCAGUUUUGCUAUAUGCGCAAUGCUCCUUUGUCACUUUUGCUGCAUCAAUCAUUGGCUGAGUUAUAAACGUAUAUAAUAAAACAGUUUACUGAACAUAGUUGUAAACUGAAACUUUUCAUUCUCAUUGUGAUACAAGAAAUGAUCUGAGUUAAAUCUAUAAUACCUAGUAGUGAUAUUUUAAUUGCUAGGGCAUAGCUUUUUGCAUGUUCGCUUCUUAAUUAAACCAUUGAAUGCUAAAUAAACAAGUUGAAGAAUGUUUUAAAUGUUAAAAGAAAGAAAACCCAAGUUUGUUAUUGUGGGUUACAAUUGCAUGGGGAUGAGGGUAUAUUUGUAGAAUGUAGCAUGCGUAAUGCAUGGUGAGCCAGAAUAAAGUAUCAGUGGAUUCUGAGUUUUCUCAUGGGUAUUAUGGGUUUUCUUUUUUAUUUUUAUUUGUUUUUUUGGUAUGUUUAUUUCUUCUGGAUUCCAUCCUUGCCCUCUCAUGAUAGUAUGCUUGU